UGAGGCAGUGACAAGCUGUAACGGUUGAGUAUAAAAAUGACGAGUGUCUGGCAUUGCCGUCUAGGUUCGCUUAGGCUUGGCAUCAUUGCCGACGCUUCGUAUGCUCAAUUGGACUGCGGUGAGUUCAAUACACUCAGUACCAUUUGACGCGGUAGAAUUAAUACCUCUGCUGUGUUAAGUUAUCUGAACCCAUCAAGUAGAGGGCAAGUCUGGUGCCAGCAGCCGCGGUAAUACCAGCUCUACUGGCCUAUACAAUCAUUGUUGCGGUUAAGAGGCUCGUAGUUGGAUUGGACUAUUAUAUACGCGCUAAAUCUUACACACAUACACACACACAACGGCCGUAUCGAAUAGCAUAUUAAUAUGCAUAGUAUAUAUGACGUAACGUAAUUUUAUGACUUGAAUACGCACAUCUAAUACUAUACACGACACUUUACACACACAAUCACACCACGUGAAAUUGUUGCAUUGUUCGAAUACACAAAACCCCCACCUUACAUACACGCGUAUUCAACACUGUGAACAAAUCAGAGUGUAUCAUACAUGUCUUUAAUUGAAUGUGCAUUGAAUGUCUCAUCAUGGGAUGUUGCCUACACACAGCAAAUUUGAAAAUCGACACAUACACACAAGACACACUCGGAUUUUUUAAUUUUCUGGUUACAAAAAUGUCGAUGGGGAUAGUUGGAGUUAGCAGUACUGUUGGGCGAGCGGUGAAAUGCGUUGACCCAGUAUCCAUUUAUACGGUCUCGACGGACGUUUACAAUAUGUAUCUAAUCAAUACAUAUCUUUUGCGUGUAAGCUUUGUACAAUUAUUCACUCAACCACUCGUGGUUAUGAAUAUGCGUAUGCGUGCACUUGAUUUUAGGAGCUUUGCGCUCAUAUUAUCUUGGUUAGAUGCAAGUAUCACUCGUUCACUGUGUACUGGCGUAUCGAUAUAUUCGUAUAUCCGAUUACUGCUGUAUCACUAUGAACAACAAACAAUGUGAUACGACGCACGCUUUAGGCACGCGCUUACUGCAGAAAUGUCUGAGACAUUCCCCUCCGGGGGUAGUAUGCACGCAAGUGUGAAACUUGAAGGAAUUGACGGAAGGGCACCACAAGAACGCGUGGAGCAUGUGGCUUAAUUUGACUCAACGCAGGAAAUCUUACCGGGUCCGGACACACUGAGGAUUGACAGAUAAUAACGGGUUGGCUGGUUCUUCUUGAACCGACCGACUCUUAAAAAUAUGAUAGCUCUUUCAUAAUUAUGUGAUAGGUGGUGCAUGGCCGUUCUUAGUUCGUGGAGUGAUCUGUCUGCUUAAUUGCGUUUUUAUUAUGGCUGACUAUAGUAUGUGUAUUUAUAUGCUCUCGCGGUAUGUAAAUCACGUCUGUCGGCUUUGAAAUGCAACGAACGUGACCGCAACCUCUUGUUGCACCUUAGCUGCUCAAGGUGCUCAACUAGAGGGACCGCUGUAUUUUUUCUUUUAGCCAGAGGAAGGAUGCGGCAAUAACAGGUCUGUGAUGCCCUCAGAUGUCCCGGGCUGCACACGUGCUACAAUGAUCAUUGCACUGCGCAUCUUCUUUUAUGUUUACACUGUCGUGUGCGAUGAGAUUCGCUUCACAGUGGUCGUAUCAAACACACAGUACACACACCCGUGUCGACAGGCUACUACACUCGGGUAACCCAUUAGAAGUAAUGAUUUCCAUAUGCACACAAUCAUACGUAUGAACGCUGAACACUCCGGUGUCUCAAUGUUCGUACGCAUGUGCGAUUGUCAAUUCAUGGUGGGGACAGACCAUUGAUAAUUGUUGGUCUCGGUCUCAACUAGGAAUGCCUUGUACGAGUCGGUUCACCAAACCACUCGGAAUACGUCCCUGCCCUUUGUACACACCGCCCGUCGCUCUUACCGAUGGACUUCGCUGUGAGUUUGAGGGACUGGCCUAGGCUAUAGAAACUUAAACGAACAGUGUGGUCUAAAGGAAAGAGAAGUCGAACAAGGCA
Molecule: ribosomal RNA, 1978 nt
Filed under: Elphidium bartletti
Lineage: Eukaryota; Foraminifera; Rotaliida; Elphidiidae
Description: SSU rRNA
Rfam family: Eukaryotic small subunit ribosomal RNA
Source: RNAcentral